UUUUUAUUAUAUUCUUAUUUAUUAUAUUUUAAUUUUAAUAUACAUUUUAAUUAAUUCAUUAAUUUGUGAAUUAUAGAACAGACAUUUGUAUAUUUGGAAGCACCUUGGCAGGACCAGUAAGAGGUUGUCUCAUUCUACCCUUCUAUCCAUCUGAAACCCCCUCCAAUUAAUAUCCUACUGUCAACAAUUUCCUGCAUUAUAAAUAUGACCCAUGGAUCAUCCAUCACAAAUCCAGGAUGUAAGGUCUACCUAUCUCUGCUUUAUUUAGAAAGAGCAUCUGAAAGGAACAUCUUCCGCCUGUGUCAGCAUUUCCCAUUGUUCUGGAGAGGUAAUAGGGAAGCACUAGAGUUUAUCAAGCAGCAACCAUCACUUUGGCAGCUGUGUGGAUGAUGGAUUUGAGAAGGAAGACACUUCAGGAAAUACAAUAUUCCAGGUGAGAAGUGGGGAGAACUUAAACUAGAGUUGAGUGAAGAGAAGGGGUUUAAUGAAAAAGAUUUUGUAGAGAUAGAAUCAAUAAGAUGUGGCAAUUGAUUAAAUGAGAGAGAAAAGGGAGUUAGUUGAGAUUUUUAAUCUGGAUAAUUGGAAGUAUUGCAUUGCCCUUGACAGAAAUAAACAAGUUCAGAAGAAGGAGGGGAGAAAGGUA
RNAcentral lists this long non-coding RNA (643 nucleotides) under Monodelphis domestica (gray short-tailed opossum). Its description in RNAcentral is "lncRNA (ENSMODG00000048034.1)". The record is from RNAcentral. Lineage: Eukaryota; Metazoa; Chordata; Mammalia; Didelphimorphia; Didelphidae.